RNAcentral lists this ribosomal RNA (440 nucleotides) under uncultured bacterium. Its description in RNAcentral is "bacterial SSU rRNA". It matches the Rfam family "Bacterial small subunit ribosomal RNA", at positions 338 to 795 of the family's 1533-position model. The record is from RNAcentral.
CCUACGGGUUGCACCAGUGGGGAAUAUUGGACAAUGGGCGAAAGCCUGAUCCAGCAAUGCCGCGUGUGUGAAGAAGGUUUUCGGAUUGUAAAGCACUUUCGACGGGGACGAUGAUGACGGUACCCGUAGAAGAAGCCCCGGCUAACUUCGAGCCAGCAGCCGCGGUAAUACGGAGGGUGCGAGCGUUAAUCGGAAUUACUGGGCGUAAAGCGCAUGCAGGCGGCCUGUUAAGUCAGAUGUGAAAGCCCGGGGCUUGACCUGGGAACUGCAUUUGAGACGCAUAGACUAGAGGUCGAGAGAGGGUUGUGGAAUUCCCAGUGUAGAGGUGAAAUUCGUAGAUAUUGGGAAGAACACCGGUGGCGAAGGCGGCAACCUGGCUCGAUACUGACGCUGAGGCGCGAAAGCGUGGGGAGCAAACAGGAUUAGAUACCCCCGUAGUC